CCUUCCUCUUGUUUUUAUUAAAUAUAUGGAGUAUAUCUCUAAUGUUAGAAGACCGUCGGACUGUACCACAGAAGAAUUAUCUCUGAACAAGUAGCUAGCUUACCGGGUAGAUGUAUUCUUAUUAUUUUAUCCUUAUGCUAAACCACUGGCCUUGUUAGUUGCCACUCUGCUCCUUAUUUUUCUUGGUGGCUUAGCACUUUUUGGCGUGAUAGAUGAUAGCAUAGCAAAUUGCCUUUGGUUAUCAUGGACUUAUGUUGCAGAUUCAGGAAAUCAUGCUAAUUCUGAAGGCAUUGGUCCACGCCUAGUGUCAGUUUCUGUUAGUUUUGGUGGAAUGCUGAUAUUUGCCAUGAUGCUCGGGCUAGUUUUUGAUGCAAUCUCUGAGAAAUUUGAUUCACUCAGGAAGGGAAGAAGUGAAGUAGUUGAGCAGAACCAUACACUUAUAAUUGGUUGGAGUGAUAAACUGGUGGGUCCUUCUAAUUAGCUAGAGUUUGUUCUUUCACAAGCUCAUAUGUUCAAAUGAUCGGCGUUCAUUUUCCUUUAUCUAGAUAACUGCCCUCAAACUGCUGACUAAUUUUAGCACCAGAUCGGAAUAGCAAUCCUCCUAGUAUGGUAUUUCUUAUUUUUGCAUAGCUCAGAAGCUCUCUCUAAUUUUACUUAAGAUUUCCCCUAUCAUUACUCCAAGAAAAUGAGAGAAGCUCCAAACCUUUGAGGUAUUCUUUUCUUUCUGUAAUUGUCAAUUGAGUGUGGUAGAAUCAGAAGAACUACAUUAACUUUUUAUUACCUAUUUGUCUGCCAAGUAGAUUGAUGCUAUCUUUUAUCAAUUGUUCUAAGCCCUUCCCAAUUAUUUACCAUGCUCCAUGAAAAUAACAAGAUUGACUAGGAAAACAGGCUUCAUUAUGUAAGGAAUUGGAACACAAUUGAUAAAAAUUGUUGAGCUUUGACUACUUGGCCUUGCAAAAAACUUAAAUAUUUUUUAAAAAUUGGUUUAGUUUACAAAAUAAAUAAAUAAACACUUAAAAUAUACAUAAUGCAGCUGAGGUUUACUAAUGUUUGCUGGAGAUUUCUUAGUAUAACUCUGUAUUUUUUGGGCAACUUAAAGUGAUUCGAAAGAAGUAAUGGUCUCAUUCACUAAUAAUAUAUCUGUAUACUCAGGGAUCGUUAUUGAAUCAACUCGCAAUAGCUAAUGAGAGUUUGGUGGGGGGGAACUGUUGUAGUCAUGGCUGAGCGAGAUAAAGAAGAGAUGGAACUUGAUAUUACUAAAAUGUAGUUUGAUUUUAGAGGAAUUUCUGUCAUAUGCAGAAGUGGAAGCCCCUUGAUUUUGGCUGACCUGAAAAAGGUGUCUGUCUCUAAGGCUCGUGCAAUAGUUGUCCUCGCUGAAGAUGGGAAUGCUGACCAGAGUGAUGCCCGUGCUCUAAGGACAGUUUUAAGCCUUACAGAAGUAAAGGAAGGACUUCGGGGCCACCUAGUGGUUGAACUCAGUGAUCUUGAUAAUGAGGUCCUUGUGAAGCUAGUUGGUGGAGAUCUUGUUGAAACAGUGGUAGCUCAUGAUGU
Capsicum annuum is the source of this 1551-nucleotide long non-coding RNA. RefSeq lists it as uncharacterized. The record is from RefSeq and is a predicted model, not a curated record. The transcript has 3 exons. NCBI's taxonomy places the organism in Eukaryota, Viridiplantae, Streptophyta, Magnoliopsida, Solanales, Solanaceae.